This 253-nucleotide ribosomal RNA is filed under the name uncultured prokaryote. Its description in RNAcentral is "partial 16S ribosomal RNA". It matches the Rfam family "Bacterial small subunit ribosomal RNA", at positions 525 to 777 of the family's 1533-position model. The record is from RNAcentral.
ACAGAGGUCCCGAGCGUUGUUCGGAUUCACUGGGCGUAAAGGGUGCGUAGGUGGCGAUGAAAGUUCGAUGUGAAAUCUCCGGGCUUAACCCGGAAAAGGCAUUGAAAACUAUGUUGCUUGAGGUUUGGAGGGGGGACUGGAAUUCUUGGUGUAGCAGUGAAAUGCGUAGAUAUCAAGAGGAACACCAGUGGCGAAGGCGGGUCCCUGGACAACACCUGACACUGAGGCACGAAAGCUAGGGGAGCAAACAGGA